RNAcentral lists this ribosomal RNA (495 nucleotides) under uncultured bacterium. RNAcentral describes it as "partial 16S ribosomal RNA". It matches the Rfam family "Bacterial small subunit ribosomal RNA", at positions 29 to 506 of the family's 1533-position model. The record is from RNAcentral.
AUGAACGCUGGCGGCGUGCCUAAUACAUGCAAGUCGAGCGAACGGACGAGAAGCUUGCUUUUCUGAUGUUAGCGGCGGGCGGGUGAGUAACACGUGGAUAACCUACCUAUAAGACUGGGAUAACUUCGGGAAACCGGAGCUAAUACCGGAUAAUAUUUUGAACCGCAUGGUUCCAAAGUGAAAGACGGUCUUGCUGUCACUUAUAGAUGGAUCCGCGCUGCAUUAGCUAGUUGGUAAGGUAACGGCUUACCAAGGCAACGAUGCAUAGCCGACCUGAGAGGGUAAUCGGCCAAACUGGAACUGAGACACGGUCCAGACUCCUACGGGAGGCAGCAGUAGGGAAUCUUCCGCAAUGGGCGAAAGCCUGACGGAGCAACGCCGCGGGAGUGAUGAAGGUCUUCGGAUCGUAAAACUCUGUUAUUAGGGAAGAACAUAUGUGUAAGUAACUGUGCACAUCUUGACGGUACCUAAUCAGAAAGCCACGGCUAACUACGG